This 107-nucleotide small nucleolar RNA is filed under the name Nicotiana attenuata. RNAcentral describes it as "Plant small nucleolar RNA R71". It matches the Rfam family "Plant small nucleolar RNA R71". From Rfam's summary of the family: R71 is a member of the C/D box family of snoRNAs containing the C (UGAUGA) and D (CUGA) box motifs. Multiple nearly identical copies of this snoRNA have been identified in Arabidopsis, and it is thought to function as a 2'-O-ribose methylation guide for 18S ribosomal RNA. The record is from Rfam by way of RNAcentral. Lineage: Eukaryota; Viridiplantae; Streptophyta; Magnoliopsida; Solanales; Solanaceae.
AUGCCAUGGUGUGGACAUUUCCUUAACCUUGCUUUCAAUCUUUCCCAAGCUUGAUAAACUGACUCAGUGUCGGUCUGCAAGAAGUUAGAUAUAUCCUGUCUUAACUU